AGUGAACGCUGGCGGUAGGCCUAACACAUGCAAGUCGAACGGCAGCACAGUAAGAGCUUGCUCUUACGGGUGGCGAGUGGCGGACGGGUGAGGAAUACAUCGGAAUCUACUUUUUCGUGGGGGAUAAUGUAGGGAAACUUACGCUAAUACCGCAUACGACCUACGGGUGAAAGCAGGGGAUCUUCGGACCUUGCGCGAUUGAAUGAGCCGAUGUCGGAUUAGCUAGUUGGCGGGGUAAAGGCCCACCAAGGCGACGAUCCGUAGCUGGUCUGAGAGGAUGAUCAGCCACACUGGAACUGAGACACGGUCCAGACUCCUACGGGAGGCGGCAGUGGGGAAUAUUGGACAAUGGGCGCAAGCCUGAUCCAGCCAUACCGCGUGGGUGAAGAAGGCCUUCGGGUUGUAAAGCCCUUUUGUUGGGAAAGAAAAGCAGCAGGUUAAUACCCCGCUAUUCUGACGGUACCCAAAGAAUAAGCACCGGCUAACUUCGUG
RNAcentral lists this ribosomal RNA (492 nucleotides) under uncultured bacterium. Its description in RNAcentral is "partial 16S ribosomal RNA". It matches the Rfam family "Bacterial small subunit ribosomal RNA", at positions 29 to 507 of the family's 1533-position model. The record is from RNAcentral.